UGCACAUGCGCACAGGUCACCUCGCAGUCCCCGCCCCCGACCCCAGCGUUUCCUCUUUUAGUAUCCAGGACUUUUUUUUUUUUCUUCCCAUGGCCUUUAUCUGGAUUUUAGGGUGAGGAGUAGGGGAAUUCAGAUGGGAGUGUUACCAAGCCACCCUCAAAUUCAUCAAGAGAAGGGUCAGGAGUUCAAGGUCAUCCUCAGUAGCAAGUUUGAGCACAGCCUAAGAUUCAUGGGACCCCGUCUCAACACAAAACUAACAAAAUUCACCUCAAGCUACCUCCUUUGUCUUACAGAGGGGUACAUACCUUCCAAGGAUCACACUGGUAUCAGAGGAUGGCCUUCGUGAAGAUCAUCGAUGCAAAAACUGAAUUUAAAACGAUUUUUUAGAACAUCAUGGUAACAUACACCUGUAAUCUCAGCACUUGGGAUAUGGACACAAAGGAUCAGGAGUCCACGGUCAUCAUCAUCUUCUGCACGAUGUCACAAGUCAUGCCAUGCAUGCUGGCUCACAGCACUCAAGAGGCUGAGGCAGGAGGAUUGCUGAGAGUCUAAGGCUGGCCUUGAACUCCCUAUGAAGCCAAGGAUGACCUUCAACUUCCGAUCCUUCUGCCUCCGCUUUUGAAGUGCUGAGAUAACAGUCAUGUGUUACCACAUGCCCAGAUGGCUAGAAUUACAGGAAUAUGCCAUCGUACCUGACUCCAGAAUUUCAUCUAAAGAAAUAAAGGGGGUUUCAGCAUCUAUGUCGCUCCUGCCCUGGGACACUAGGUUGACUUCCUCUGUGUGUCCGUGGGAUACAGUGCAAGUGGCAGUGAAGGGCACCCAGCUGCGCAGUCUGCUGUGGCAUUUGUCAAGGUCAUUUUGUGUCAUGAGGUGAUGCUGGUAGUGGUUUCCAGGAUGGAUGGAGCUGCUUGAGCCUUGUGUACAUGCUCUGCAGUGGACUAGAGGGUCUCUGCAGCAACCACCCCUUCGUCCCAUGCCAGCAGGAACCCUGAGCUGACAGCUGGAGCAGCCAGCAGUGGCCACUUUGAUGGCCUCCCAUAGACCCAUUAAGGGAAUCCUCAAGAACAAGGUGUCUUCCCUGGUGAUCACCAGGGGAAGAGAUGAGUAAAAAGUCCCAGACGUAGGAUGAAAUGAAUAUCCUGGCAGUGUAUCUCCAGCUGACAAAGACGAUGGUUUGAUGGAAGCAGAUGAACCAAACACUGCUUAUCGCAACAUGAUAGAUGAUGAUGAAGAUAUCUAUAGUGAUUCAGAAGCCAAUGAUGUCAUGACUCCACAUAUCUUAGUUAAGAAAUAGGCUGCUGCUGAAAGCUAAGAGCCCAAGAGUCAGAUUUGAGAAUAGCAACACAGUGGAGAGGAAGAGCAAAAAGAAAAAAAGAAAACCAAAAAGCAACAACAACAACAACAAAACGAAGUAACAGGAACCCUCAUCUGGGUGUUGGUGGCGCAGGCCUUUAAUCCCAGCACUCGAGAGGCAGA
Cricetulus griseus (Chinese hamster) is the source of this 1476-nucleotide non-coding RNA. NCBI's taxonomy places the organism in Eukaryota, Metazoa, Chordata, Mammalia, Rodentia, Cricetidae. The record is from RefSeq and is a predicted model, not a curated record.